AUGGUACCCCAUGACCAAAUGUCUUGCGUGCUUGUAAAUUUUAGUGUUCACAUGACAACCAACGAGCUCAAAAAUAAACUGCUCAACAGCGCACACAAGUUUGAGCACCAAUUUUGUAAUUUUCUCUAUGAACUCUUGGAAUGUUAUUUGGACACAAAAAAUUGCAAGCGCCUACAAUAUUUCGUCAUAAUCCAUCCCACAAUGUUCAGAAUUUUUGGAUUUUCUAUUUUUUUUAUAAUUUUACUGUUCAUGGAGGUACCAUGGAGCUCUUGCUAUGAAAAACCGCUCUCAAUAAUAAAUAGUCCUAAGUAUGGUUCAACGGAAGUGGCACUUCGAGCUUUUGAUUGA
Molecule: ribosomal RNA, 348 nt
Filed under: Triticum aestivum (bread wheat)
Lineage: Eukaryota; Viridiplantae; Streptophyta; Magnoliopsida; Poales; Poaceae
Description: partial small subunit ribosomal RNA
Source: RNAcentral